Molecule: ribosomal RNA, 203 nt
Filed under: uncultured bacterium
Lineage: Bacteria
Description: partial 16S ribosomal RNA
Rfam family: Bacterial small subunit ribosomal RNA
Source: RNAcentral
ACGCUCGACACCUACGGAGGCAGCAGUGGGGAAUAUUGCACAAUGGGGGAAACCCUGAUGCAGCGACGCCGCGUGGAGGAAGAAGGUCUUCGGAUUGUAAACUCCUGUUGUUGGGGAAAAAGAGGAUGGUACCCAACAAGGAAGUGACGGCUAACUACGUGCCAGCACGCCGACGGUAAUCUGAGGCGGGCGUGGACGAAGGC